GAUCCUGGCUCAGGAUGAACGCUAGCUACAGGCUUAACACAUGCAAGUCGAGGGGCAGCAUUUUAGUUUGCUUUGCAAACUGAAGAUGGCGACCGGCGCACGGGUGAGUAACACGUAUCCAACCUGCCGAUAACUCCGGGAUAGCCUUUCGAAAGAAAGAUUAAUACCGGAUAGUAUACGGAAUAUCGCAUGAUAUUUUUAUUAAAGAAUUUCGGUUAUCGAUGGGAUGCGUUCCAUUAGUUUGUUGG
RNAcentral lists this ribosomal RNA (248 nucleotides) under uncultured bacterium. RNAcentral describes it as "partial 16S ribosomal RNA". It matches the Rfam family "Bacterial small subunit ribosomal RNA", at positions 15 to 252 of the family's 1533-position model. The record is from RNAcentral.